Long non-coding RNA from Triticum dicoccoides, 440 nucleotides. RefSeq lists it as uncharacterized. The transcript has 5 exons. NCBI's taxonomy places the organism in Eukaryota, Viridiplantae, Streptophyta, Magnoliopsida, Poales, Poaceae. The record is from RefSeq and is a predicted model, not a curated record.
UAUGUUGCUGCCGAUAACCGUCGCACACGUAUGGCUAGAAACAGGAAAAGAGGUCUGGAGCAAAAAGAAGAAUAGACUUUACCAAGGAUGAUGCCACCAAAUCUAUCAGAUCAAAGAAACAUGAACAUAGUCCUUCCAAAGAAUACAAGAAAGACAAAACAGACAACAAAUAUCAAACAACCAAUGAUGGACAGCAGGAGUAAGCCAAACAUGCAUACCAAAUAGAUGUUAACAUAUGGACGAGACAAUCAAACAGGAAGGGUCUUACUAUUCAUGGCAGAUGUUAACAUGUGGAGGAGACAAUCAUACAUGAAGGAUCUUCAUUAUUGGAUAAUGCUUGAAUGCACCGAGUUUCUCUUUGUCUUUUCUCCUUUCGCCCUUUGGAAUCACCAGAGUACCCAUUCCUCAACGUGUAUGAGUGUACGAGGGUACUUUUAGUC